This 629-nucleotide ribosomal RNA is filed under the name uncultured Gammaproteobacteria bacterium. Its description in RNAcentral is "bacterial SSU rRNA". It matches the Rfam family "Bacterial small subunit ribosomal RNA", at positions 931 to 1533 of the family's 1533-position model. Lineage: Bacteria; Pseudomonadati; Pseudomonadota; Gammaproteobacteria. The record is from RNAcentral.
GGUGGAUGAUGUGGUUUAAUUCGAUGCAACGCGAAAAACCUUACCCACCUUUGACAUGUACGGAAGUCGCUAGAGAUAGCUUCGUGCUCGAAAGAGAGCCGUAACACAGGUCAUGCAUGUCUGUCGUCAGCUCGUGUCGUGAGAUGUUGGGUUAAGUCCCGCAACGAGCGCAACCCUUGUCAUUAGUUGCUACAUUCAGUUGGGCUCUGUAAUGAGACUGCCGGAGACAAACCGGAGGAAGGUGGGGAUGACGUCAAGUCCUCAUGGCCCUUAUAGGUGGGGCUACACACGUCAUACAAUGGGUGGUACAAAGGGUUGCCAACCCGCGAGGGGGAGCUAAUCCCAUAAAACCAGUCGUAGUCCGGAUCGCAGUCUGCAACUCGUCUGCGUGAAGUCGGAAUCGCUAGUAAUCGUGGAUCAGAAUGUCACGGUGAAUACGUUCCCGGGUCUUGUACACACCGCCCGUCACACCAUGGGAGCGGGUCUCGCCAGAAGUAGUUAGCCUAACCGCAAGGAGGGCGAUUUCCACGGCGGGGGGGGUGACUGGGGUGAAGUCGUAACAAGGUAACCAAGGGCGAAUUCUGCAGAUAUCCAUCACACUGGCGGCCGCUCGAGCAUGCAUCUAGAGG